Molecule: ribosomal RNA, 914 nt
Filed under: uncultured bacterium
Lineage: Bacteria
Description: bacterial SSU rRNA
Rfam family: Bacterial small subunit ribosomal RNA
Source: RNAcentral
AGAUUGAACGUUGGCGGCACGCUUUAGACAUGCAAGUCGAACGAGAAAGCACUUCGGUGUGAGUAAAGUGGCGGACGGGUGAGUAACGCGUAGGAAUCUACCUAGUAGUGGGGGACAACUCGGGGAAACUCGAGCUAAUACCGCAUACGCUCUUAGGAGGAAAGUGGGGGAUCUUCGGACCUCACGCUAUCAGAGGAGCCUGCGUUAGAUUAGCUAGUUGGUGAGGUAAAGGCUCACCAAGGCGACGAUCUAUAGCUGGUCUGAGAGGACGAUCAGCCACACUGGAACUGAGACACGGUCCAGACUUCUACGGAAGGCAGCAGUCAGGAAUAUUGGGCAAUGGGCGAAAGCCUGACCCAGCGAUGCCGCGUGUGUGAAGAAGGCCCUAGGGUUGUAAAGCACUUUCAGUCGUGAAGAAAAGCAUUGGGUUAAUACCCCGACGUGUUGACGUUAACGACAGAAGAAGUACCGGCUAACUCCGUGCCAGCAGCCGCGGUAAUACGGAGGGUACGAACGUUAAUCGGAAUUACUGGGCGUAAAGCGCGCGUAGGCGGUUUGAUAAGUGGGAUGUGAAAGCCCCGGGCUCAACCUGGGAACUGCAUUCCAAACUGUCAGACUAGAGUGUGGUAGAGGGAGGUAGAAUUUCCUGUGUAGCGGUGAAAUGCGUAGAUACAGGAAGGAAUACCGAUGGCGAAGGCAGCCUCCUGGACCAACACUGACGCUGAGGUGCGAAAGCGUGGGGAGCAAACAGGAUUAGAUACCCUGGUAGUCCACGCCGUAAACGAUGAGAACUAGCCGUUGGGGCCUUUAAGGCUUUGGUGGCGCAGCUAACGCGAUAAGUUCUCCGCCUGGGGAGUACGGCCGCAAGGUUAAAACUCAAAUGAAUUGACGGGGGCCCGCACAAGCGGUGGAGC